Molecule: ribosomal RNA, 492 nt
Filed under: uncultured bacterium
Lineage: Bacteria
Description: partial 16S ribosomal RNA
Rfam family: Bacterial small subunit ribosomal RNA
Source: RNAcentral
AGUGAACGCUGGCGGUAGGCCUAACACAUGCAAGUCGAACGGCAGCACAGUAAGAGCUUGCUCUUACGGGUGGCGAGUGGCGGACGGGUGAGGAAUACAUCGGAGUCUACUUUUUCGUGGGGGAUAACGUAGGGAAACUUACGCUAAUACCGCAUACGACCUACGGGUAAAAGCAGGGGAUCUUCGGACCUUGCGCGAUUGAAUGAGCCGAUGUCGGAUUAGCUAGUUGGCGGGGUAAAGGCCCACCAAGGCGACGAUCCGUAGCUGGUCUGAGAGGAUGAUCAGCCACACUGGAACUGAGACACGGUCCAGACUCCUACGGGAGGCAGCAGUGGGGAAUAUUGGACAAUGGGCGCAAGCCUGAUCCAGCCAUACCGCGUGGGUGAAGAAGGCCUUCGGGUUGUAAAGCCCUUUUGUUGGGAAAGAAAAGCAGCAGGUUAAUACCCCGCUGUUCUGACGGUACCCAAAGAAUAAGCACCGGCUAACUUCGUG